Molecule: ribosomal RNA, 449 nt
Filed under: uncultured bacterium
Lineage: Bacteria
Description: partial 16S ribosomal RNA
Rfam family: Bacterial small subunit ribosomal RNA
Source: RNAcentral
AACGAACGCUGGCGGCAUGCCUAACACAUGCAAGUCGAACGAGACCUUCGGGUCUAGUGGCGCACGGGUGCGUAACGCGUGGGAAUCUGCCCUCUGGUUCGGAACAACAGUUGGAAACGACUGCUAAUACCGGAUAAUGACUUCGGUCCAAAGAUUUAUCGCCUGAGGAUGAGCCCGCGUAGGAUUAGCUUGUUGGUGAGGUAAAAGCUCACCAAGGCGACGAUCCUUAGCUGGUCUGAGAGGAUGAUCAGCCACACUGGGACUGAGACACGGCCCAGACUCCUACGGGAGGCAGCAGUGGGGAAUAUCGGACAAUGGGCGAAAGCCUGAUCCAGCAAUGCCGCGUGAGUGAUGAAGGCCUUAGGGUUGUAAAGCUCUUUUACCCGGGAUGAUAAUGACAGUACCGGGAGAAUAAGCCCCGGCUAACUCCGUGCCAGCAGCCGCAGUAA